Molecule: long non-coding RNA, 345 nt
Filed under: Elaeis guineensis (African oil palm)
Lineage: Eukaryota; Viridiplantae; Streptophyta; Magnoliopsida; Arecales; Arecaceae
Description: long non-coding RNA (EGUI_LNC051478)
Source: RNAcentral
GCCCUUCCUCCUUCAUGCCAACUUCAUCCCUGUUCCAUCUUCCAUGCCCCACUUCUUUUAGAUCAGAUCUAGAGAGAGGCCUUAGAGAGAGAAAAAGAAAAUCAAGGAGUUCUUAAUAUUUUUUGGGGGUUAAGAUCAAUCCUCAGGAUCCUAUACAGAGUUGUUUCAAGUGAUAUUAAGUAAAAGGCCUUGAUCUAAGCCAAAGAACGAAGCCUGCAAGAGAGCUAGCACCCUGGAUAUUUUAGAGUUCUGAUUAGAAUAUCUCUAUGUGGAUACCAGUAGAGGCUGGGUGCUUACGUGGUUAUGACAGGAACUCCAGACAUCCGCGGGAUCUGAUCUAAAGAA